GAUUUAUAUGCCUUAAUUCUAUGUACAAUAUUAAGGCCUUUACAGGUAAAUCUCAGGCAAAAAAACCCAUGAGAUGCAAGAUGGGAUGCCAGUGACAUCAAAUGAGGAAGAUUCAUAUCUCCUGACGCUCCAUGUCCUGGGUCCCAGAACAAAGAUAACACGCUGCAGCAGAUAUGAACCCGAAAGUAAAGUCUGGAGUCCAGCCUCAUCCGGCCAAGAUCUAAGCCACUGAAGAACCAAAAAUGCUGGCCUGAAGAACCCAAGAGCAUGAAAUGUUAGGCCACUGAGAUCUGGGGACUGUUAUACAGCAUUCCUUCCUAUGGAAGAGAUCUCUUAUUAUUCAAGGUAUAACCAACACCAAGAUCUCCAUUAUCCAUCUAUUUUUUCCUGUUAACAUUUAUUCAUUCAUUCAUGGAAUACUGAUAAUAACAGAGUUCAAAGUUCAAAAGGUACCAAAAAUAUACAGUGAAGUGUCCCUCAUUCCAUUUUUGCCUUGCUACCCAGAUCCCUUCUCCAAAGUCAACCAAUAUUACCUGCUUCUUCCAUAUCUUUCCAGAUAUUUUAUACAUAUAUACACACACACCCCUUUUUUUAAUAAACUCAUAUUUUUCUGAAUCCCCCACCACCUAACAUACAUCUUUUGUUUACUCUUUUCUCUAUACAAUGAGCUUCUUUCAUUGUGUUUUAUGGCUGCAGAAUAUCCCAAGGGAAGGUUGUGCAUGAUAUAUUUCACCAACCAUCACUGACACUGAUUCUAAUCUUUUGCUAAAAUACUGCAAUGAAUGGUAUGCACCUUACUUUCUCACGUGUGUAGACCAAUUUUAAUAACUUUGUGGGAGAGGAACUGCUGUAUCAAAGGGUAUAUUCACUUGCAAUUAUAUUUUUUAAGGAAUACAUUCGAUUUCUGAAUAGGUAAUAUUUGCAUAUGUUACAAAAUUUUUAAAGGACAAACAUGUAAAUAGUUAACCCUCCUCACAUUCUUUUCCUCCAGCCAUGGAGUUUCCUUUCCCAGAAGUAACCACUGUGACCAACUUGUUUUUUUUUAAGGUUUGUUUGCAGGGGUGGGGGGAAGGGGGCAGAGAGAGGAGGAGAGAAUCCCAAGCAGGCUCCAUGCUCAGCAUACAGCCUGAUGGGAGGGCUCGAUCACCCCCUGACCCCAUGAGGUCAGGACCUGCGGCAAAAUCAAGAGUCGGGCGCUUAACUGAGCCUCCCAGGCGCCCCCACUGUGAUCCGCUUACUAUCUUUCCACACGUGUGUGUUAUGUGUCCAGAAAAGUUUUCUGACUUGAGCCUGAGGGGAAUCAGUCUGGCUACAAAAAUCCUGGGGUUUCGGUGGGGGGAGGAGGAGAAUAAAGGACUUCAGGCUUCAGCGUCCCUGCCUUCAAAAACACAGCCCCCUAGUUAACUGUGCCUGAGGUCCCCUGGUUCAAAGCUCCCGGCCUCUGUUCUCCCAAGAGCCUCCCGCCUUCUAGUGGGAGAAGGCAGUCACCCAACAGUGUGAAACCGGGAAGGAGAUGCGCACAUCUAAUUACCUCUGCAACAGAUUUCACCUAGGUGCACCCCCAACACCACUUCCUUCGCUGGCAGCUGCCAGUUUGUGUGUUUUGUAUUCAACUGUUCCACACUGUUCCUUGCCGCAGGUUUAGAAUUACGCUGUUUGCUAAGAACAUUUGCCUUCCGGACCCCACUACUUUACUGCUAUCGUUUCCUUUCCCAUUCUCUCCAUCGUUUGAAUUGAAGUCUUCUAAAAAAAAAAAAAAAAAAAAAAAAACCCUUUACCGUAAUUUUAGUGAGAUUCCAGGAGCCAGUAUUCAAUCCACUUUCUUGGCCUAGAAUGCUCUACUCUCCCGAAACCACCUGGAUGUUUGGGUUCUUUCGGAGAAACUCUACGGCCUGCCAGGUUUCCGGAUGAACAGUCCACUCCUCACAGCUGGUGCCCUUGUUCUCCACCGGCUACUUCGGUUACCAACGAAACUGUUCUGGGAUACGGUGCAACCCGGUCUCCGCAGUCUGGGUUACGACCUCUGGUUUCGCAUUCGGACAGGGCAGGGCAGGGCAGCAGUCUGGCUCUGCCCCAAGGUCUUCAACUGUAAAAGGAGAGCCACAGGGAUACCCUGAGGACGAAUCUGCAGUUUCCGUACUUGGCGAGCAUUCCGGAGGGACUUGUACGACGACCACGAAUACCGGGGGCGCAAGAGGCGAUCACGUCUCGUGCUCAAGGACCGACACGCCACGACCACCCCAACUUCCAACCGAAAAACUGCGCGGGCAUCGUCCAGUGUGUCCACAGCGGUGCGCUGGAGGUCACGGGCGAGCAAACACGUGAAGAGUUUAAGUCUUCCGGAGGCCGAUGACCUGGCCGGGUGGGUGCACACCAGACAGCACGCGGGACCAGGGCAGAAAUUCGGAGCGACCCCCCCCACCCCCCCGCCAAGAAUUUAGGGUUCCAAGGCACCUGUGAGAACCCUCUCGUGCACUCAACCGGCGCGCGUGCGCGGGGUGCGCGGUGGCCGCCCCCCGCCCCCGGGGCCCGGCGCGACCCCCUCACAGCUCCGGCCGCUUCGGCUCUCCCCGCCCGAGCCGUCCCCUCACUGCGGCCUCCCCAACGGCCAGGAGGGCGAAACCCCGGCGGUCGGGCCCGCGGGCACCGCACUUACACCCAACGCCUCACGGAGGCGACCAGCAGCCGUCGAGGGGCGCCGGCCGCGAGCCCUAAUGUUUCAGACGGGGCCGCCAGGCGCGCCAGCACCUUCCUCUGGAGGCCGUCCCCCACCCAGCGGCGCCAACCGCCGCCGCCGCACUUACCGGGCCCGGGAAGGUGGCCGAGACCGCCUAGCCGUCCGCACUCCCUUCACGGAACAAACUACCACGCUCGAAGCGACCGCCUCGCCGCACCCGCCAGCCCGUUUCGCAUCGGCGCACGCGCGCGCAGACCCCGCCCCCCGGGCGCGCGGGCCCGCGCGUAGGGCACGCCGGGAGCGGGAGUUUUCCAGCCGCUUCCGGGUGACUGGGGCGGGGGUUGCUCGCUAGCAAGCUGGUGGUGAGUGGAUUCCUUUUUAAGAAAAAUGUAACAUAAGACUGUGGAAAUGUAGCUGGCAUGCAGGGGUGCAAGAGCAACUGACUCUGGGGAGUCCCAAACCGACCAGGUGCAGCCACUCACCCUUGACAAAACCCAAAGGCACAGAGACAAGUGGUGGUGAAGUAAGAGAGGAAUUUAUUUCCAUGAGGCCGACACCCGGAAGACCACAGACUAAUGGCUCAAAGGCUGUCACCGAAGUGCCAA
Molecule: long non-coding RNA, 3282 nt
Organism: Felis catus (domestic cat)
Lineage: Eukaryota; Metazoa; Chordata; Mammalia; Carnivora; Felidae
Exons: 3
Source: RefSeq, a predicted model, not a curated record